This 433-nucleotide ribosomal RNA is filed under the name uncultured bacterium. Its description in RNAcentral is "partial 16S ribosomal RNA". It matches the Rfam family "Bacterial small subunit ribosomal RNA", at positions 29 to 507 of the family's 1533-position model. The record is from RNAcentral.
AACGAACGCUGGCGGCAUGCCUAACACAUGCAAGUCGAACGAGACCUUCGGGUCUAGUGGCGCACGGGUGCGUAACGCGUGGGAACCUGCCCUUAGGUUCGGAAUAACUCCCCGAAAGGGGUGCUAAUACCGGAUAAUGUCUUCGGACCAAAGAUUUAUCGCCUUUGGAUGGGCCCGCGUUGGAUUAGCUAGUUGGUAGGGUAAAAGCCUACCAAGGCGACGAUCCAUAGCUGGUCUGAGAGGAUGAUCAGCCACACUGGGACUGAGACACGGCCCAGACUCCUACGGGAGGCAGCAGUAGGGAAUAUUGGACAAUGGGCGAAAGCCUGAUCCAGCAAUGCCGCGUGAGUGAUGAAGGCCUUAGGGUUGUAAAGCUCUUUUACCCGGGAUGAUAACGACAGUACCGGGAGAAUAAGCCCCGGCUAACUCCGUG